CCACGUUUACGGCUCGGCUCAUCGCGAGUAAAAAUGCAACGGCGCCAACGGGUUCUCUGCGGAUGAAAACCCAUCAUAGAAUAUCGAAAACUUGGGGGAAAACGUACUUCCUGUUUUUCGUACCCGCCAAAAAUUCCCGGGCUUAGAGUUUUGUUCGCGUCCGAUUCUUUUAGGGCUGUGUAAUUUAAGUAAAAGUGGAUCCUGUUUCAGCUAAAUUGAAACUAAUUUUGCUUCUUGCAUUACGAAGAAAAAGAAAUAGAAGAUGGUGGGUUCGACCAUAUUUGAGAGACGACUGCAACAAGGAUAUGCAAAUAAUUUAAUUGAAGAUAUGAGACUGAAUGAUAUUGAAAGUCUUUUAAUUAUUUUCGCAUGUCGCCUGGUCAGUUGGAGGAAUUGUUAGCACUAAUUGGACCAUCUAUACAGAAGAAAAAUACUAAUUAUCGUUAAAGUAUUCCAGAAAAAGAUCGUUUGGCUGUAACAUUAAGAUUUCUUGCCAGUGGAGAUAUAAUGACAAGCUUGUCAUUUGCAUUUCAAAUGGGAAAGUCCACAGUCUCCCUCAUAAUAAGAGACACUUGUGCAGCUUUGUGCAAUGUAUUACAGUUUUGGAAGUUCUAAGUGAAGAAAAGUGGCUGUGGAUUGCCUAGGAAUAUGAAGCUUUGUGGCAGUUCCCUCAGUGCCUUGGAUCCAUUGAUGGAAAGCAUGUCAUCAUUCAGGCUCCACCAUGGUCUGGAUCUUCCUACUAUAAUUACAAAGGUUCAUUCAGUAUAGUUUUGAUGGCCAUAGCUGAUGCGAAAUAUAAAUUCAUAAUUGUUGACAUCGGAGCUGAGUGAUGGAGGAAUUUUGUCAAUUCCACCUUCGGUAAAGCUGUUCAUGAAGAAGCACUGAACUCACCUAAAAGUUCUCCAGCUCAUGGAUCACAAUAUUUAUUGCCAUACACUUUUAUUGGGGAUGAAGCUUUUCCCUUUAAAAGAAAUUUAAUGCGACCAUAUUCUGGUCAAGAACUAAAUACAGAAAAGUAUACUAUCGAGAGCACGAAGAUGCGUUGAGAACGCAUUUGGAAUCAUGGCUGCCAGAUUCCGAAUUCUGCGCAAAACAAUUGUGGCUGGUCUUAUUGUGAAGGCCUCUGUCUGCUUGCACAAUUAUUUAUAAUGUAAAGAGGAACAGAUGCCAGCAAAAGAACGACAAUAUUGCCCUGGUUUCACAGAUACGGAUGAUGGCAGUGGCAGUAUUCUAAAAGGCCGAUGGAGAGACGAGAACAUACAGAAUUUAAGCAAAGUGUCUCGUUCUGCCUCAAAUAUGUACAGCAGGAAUGCAGCUGCUGUUCGUAUUGCAUACACCAGUUACUUUACAAGAGAAGGGGCAGUACCAUGGCAGUAUGCUACAGUUUCAAAAAAAUAAAAUUUACAAAUAUUAUGCACACUUUUACUAGGUUUCAAGCUUCCUUUCUUAUUUAUAUGUAUAUUGCCAUAUAAUUUAUGUAAAUUUUCUUUUAUUUAUCUAAUUAUAUUUUAUUUUGUCUGUAUAUGUGUAAAAAAUGAAUAUUUUUCAACAUCAGAGAAUGCAUACUAAAAAUUUACUUUAGAAUGGCAUAUAUGAGGGAGAAAAUGACUGAUGAAAUCAAAAAAGUAUAGCUAUAUGAUAUAAUUAAUCUGUGUAGAUAAGAAGGAAACAGUUAGCCUUAAUAAUAUGCACAAUUCACAUCACACUAAUUGUCUAAGUUACCAAAGUAAACUCAAGUGCGUUUAUAUAAGACCUUCCUAGUAUUUGUUAUUAAAAAAAAU
Molecule: long non-coding RNA, 1781 nt
Organism: Stegodyphus dumicola
Lineage: Eukaryota; Metazoa; Arthropoda; Arachnida; Araneae; Eresidae
Source: RefSeq, a predicted model, not a curated record